This 492-nucleotide ribosomal RNA is filed under the name uncultured bacterium. RNAcentral's name for it is "partial 16S ribosomal RNA". It matches the Rfam family "Bacterial small subunit ribosomal RNA", at positions 29 to 507 of the family's 1533-position model. The record is from RNAcentral.
AGUGAACGCUGGCGGUAGGCCUAACACAUGCAAGUCGAACGGCAGCACAGUAAGAGCUUGCUCUUACGGGUGGCGAGUGGCGGACGGGUGAGGAAUACAUCGGAAUCUACUUUUUUGUGGGGGAUAACGUAGGGAAACUUACGCUAAUACCGCAUACGACCUACGGGUGAAAGCAGGGGAUCUUCGGACCUUGCGCGAUUGAAUGAGCCGAUGUCGGAUUAGCUAGUUGGCGGGGUAAAGGCCCACCAAGGCGACGAUCCGUAGCUGGUCUGAGAGGAUGAUCAGCCACACUGGAACUGAGACACGGUCCAGGCUCCUACGGGAGGCAGCAGUGGGGAAUAUUGGACAAUGGGCGCAAGCCUGAUCCAGCCAUACCGCGUGGGUGAAGAAGGCCUUCGGGUUGUAAAGCCCUUUUGUUGGGAAAGAAAAGCAGCAGGUUAAUACCCCGCUGUUCUGACGGUACCCAAAGAAUAAGCACCGGCUAACUUCGUG